This 372-nucleotide ribosomal RNA is filed under the name uncultured organism. RNAcentral describes it as "bacterial SSU rRNA". It matches the Rfam family "Bacterial small subunit ribosomal RNA", at positions 526 to 896 of the family's 1533-position model. The record is from RNAcentral.
CGAGUGCCCCAAGCGUUAUCCGGAAUUAUUGGGCGUAAAGGGUCAGUAGGCGGUUUUGUUAGUCUUCUGUCAAAUUCUUCGGCUUAACCGGGGGUCCGCGGGGGAAACGGCAAAACUUGAGGAUGCGAGAGGUGAAUGGAACUCAUAGUGUAGGGGUGAAAUCCGUUGAUAUUAUGGGGAACACCAAAAGCGAAGGCAAUUCACUGGCGCACUCCUGACGCUGAAUGACGAAAGCGUGGGUAGCGAAUGGGAUUAGAUACCCCAGUAGUCCACGCCCUAAACGAUCUUCUCUAGCUAUUCGGAGUAUCGACCCUCUGAGUGGCGAAGCUAACGCGUUAAGAGAAGCGCCUGGGUAGUACGGCCGCAAGGCUA